UCUUAAAAAAAAAACUCUCUCUCUUCCUCCUUUGUGGUUUAAUGACGAUCUUUUCUCACUUUGGCUAGAAAACCUUAGGACUGCUUGGGGGUGAAAGUAGAUCACGAGCAUAGGAUGUAACGGGGGUUUGAUUAAGGCACGAGAGGCAGUCGACAGAGGCGAGGUGGAGUUCUGUUUGCUUCCUUCUCUAGAGCUGGGGGUUCUCUUGAACUGUUUGAUCAGUUGCUUGCUGGUGCUCCAUUUUGGGUUUGUAGAUGACAUGCAGAUAGAAUUUUGCAUGAUGAUGUGAUUUUUUAAGUUUAAUUGGGUUAAUCUAAAAAUGUGUAAUUUCUGUUGAGAUUGUGGUAGCUAUCAAAAAUGGGUGCUAUGAGUUCCAAAAUUGAAUGGAUUAUCAUAAGGAGAGUUGUCUAAUUUCCUUUGAAUUUUGCAUAAUGGUAUGAUUUUUUAGUUUUGAAUUGGGUUAUUCUAGAAGUAUGUAAUUGCUGUUGGAAUUGUAGUAGUAUCUAAAAUGGUUGCUAUGAGUUUCUAGAUUCGAUUGGAUUAUUUAGGAAGAGUUGUCUAAUUUCUUGUGAAGGUAUGGUAGUGUUUCUUUAGUUAUGUGAUGAAAUUUUCUGUAGAAAACUUGUUACGGAUAUUUAUACAAUCCCUGUCGGUGUCUUGCUUUGUCACCUGGUUCUACCCUUGCUCUCUACAUUAGCCUCGUCUCAGUUCCCUGAUCUGCUCUUCUGGUCAUGCACGGUUUAAUAGAUUUAAUGUUUUGGAUUACAUGUGAUUAUGUAGGUUUAACAUUUCUAAUCUUUAGAUUGUCGUAGAUUUUGUUAACUAUAUGUAGGAAGUUUACAAACCUCUUCUUGUUUCUCUAGUUUUUCUUUAAAGGCUUAUUGAGUUUAGUGUUCAUUUUCUAGGAUCUUUGUCACCUUUGGACAUAUCCUUUUUGGGUGACUGUUUUUCAGUUCUUUGUUUUCCAACCCCUUGUCCACGGUAAGUUUCUUGUUUAAAAAAAAAUAAAAAAUAAAAAAAUGGUUUAUCCGUAACCUCCUUAGCGCCUCUGUUUUACGCCCCGAAUGCGUUGAAAUGAUAACCCUCGGUCCAAAAACCAUGCUCCUCUGAUCUGAUUAACCCCCAAGUAAGUCCUCUCAAACUACUUUGUUCUUAACAAAUCAGUCUCAUUUUUUAUUUUCUUUUUUACAGUUUUCUCUAUAUUGUUUAGUUUGAUCUUAGCUUAAGCAUUGCUCAAGUUCACAUCAAUUGUCGAAGUCCACAUUCCUUCCAUGGGGCCUAAUCAAGAAGCUAGAUCUUUAUUAUUUUUUCUGUUUCAGUUUGGUUCAUGUUGCUAUCUGUAUUGUAAUAGUUGUGUAAUAGUGUGUAAUAGUUGAAAACUGUUUGUGGACUUCAAUAUCCGUUGUCAAGCAGCAUUGACCUUGCAGUUACUCCA
Long non-coding RNA from Papaver somniferum (opium poppy), 1435 nucleotides. RefSeq lists it as uncharacterized. The transcript has 2 exons. The record is from RefSeq and is a predicted model, not a curated record. Lineage: Eukaryota; Viridiplantae; Streptophyta; Magnoliopsida; Ranunculales; Papaveraceae.